Molecule: ribosomal RNA, 253 nt
Filed under: uncultured bacterium
Lineage: Bacteria
Description: partial 16S ribosomal RNA
Rfam family: Bacterial small subunit ribosomal RNA
Source: RNAcentral
UACGUAGGGUGCGAGCGUUGUCCGGAAUUAUUGGGCGUAAAGAGCUUGUAGGCGGUUUGUCGCGUCUGCUGUGAAAACUCGGGGCUUAACCCCGGGCCUGCAGUGGGUACGGGCAGACUAGAGUGCGGUAGGGGAGACUGGAAUUCCUGGUGUAGCGGUGAAAUGCGCAGAUAUCAGGAGGAACACCGGUGGCGAAGGCGGGACUCUGGGCCGAUACUGACGCUGAGGAGCGAAAGCGUGGGGAGCAAACAGG